RNAcentral lists this unclassified non-coding RNA (2490 nucleotides) under Hevea brasiliensis (rubber tree). Lineage: Eukaryota; Viridiplantae; Streptophyta; Magnoliopsida; Malpighiales; Euphorbiaceae. The record is from RNAcentral.
GCACCAAUAAGUAAAAAAGUAAAAAAAUUAUCGAUAAUGCACAUGGUAAAACCAUAUUAGCAAUUAACACAAUCUCCCAUGAUAAAUAGGAAGCCAUGGGCUACUCAGAGAGCAGAAUUAAAUUGUAAUAACUAUAAUAAGAAUGAGAAAAUUUUUUCUUUUAGCUUGCUAAGAUAAAUUAAAUUGCAUUUGUCCACUCUAAAUAGUACCUGAAACAUAUUUCUUCCAUAAAAAAAUGGAGACGCCUCUAUAAUGAAUUAUAUUAAAGGAGAAAUAUCAUAGUGCCAUCAUGUUAAAUAAUUUUCAAUGCAUUAAUUGGCGCAGUUAUUAACUGCUCAAAGUAUAAUGGACUGAUCCAUUUCUCAGGGAGGGCUGAAGCUGAUGCAACGUAGAAAAUAAGCAAACUGAAACUCAUCAACAGGCUUCCAGCCAGUUAAAGAUACAGAAUCAAAGUUCUUCACAUCUCUAUCUGAGGCAGAAACCAUGAAGUACAAGUAACAAGCAUCAGAGCUUUCAUUCAGAAUCAAAUUUUUUUCUUCAACUCCUGCCAUACUUCAGGGCCUCUAGGAUGAACUUCCACAUACCUCUUGACAAAUAUUUUAUCUGAGCACCCAAUUACAGUGCUCAAGGAAAGCGUUGGGUCAACUUUUCCUUGAUCUUUGAGCCAAUUGUACAUUGCUAACUUAAGCUUGAUAGUUGGUAUUGUGUAGCAAAGAAAUGCAGGAAAUAUGACUAAUGAUGAUAUGGGAUAACCCAAAUCAUUCACAAUACAAUCAAUCUUCAUUUUGAUUACCUCUUUUUUCUGAUUAAGAAUUUGAGGGCAUAUUUUAAUCAUUUCACAAACAUCCUUCCUAUCCAAACCAGCUCGCAUGAUACAAUCAAAUCUCUCUUGGAGCUCUGCUCCUCGGCCUCGGAAAACCUUGAGUGCUUUUUCCAUUUCCUUCGAGUUCUCUUCAAAUCCCAAGUCCAGUAAGAACUUAGUCUUCAGCGUUUUUGAUCGUAGCCUCUCUUGUGAUUUUGGCAAUGGUCCAACUUUUGAUCCCAAUACCCAGUUCUUCAUUUCUUGCGGGUUCUGCAGGAUGAUAUCGCAAAGUCGCUUCUUUCCAACAUUCAGAGAAGUAAGCAAGCUAUUGGUUUUCUUUAAUGUACAUGAACCCAGAAAAAGGGAGUGAGAGCGGAUAAUCUUCCCAAUCUCCACUAUGUCCAUCUCAAUCUCAGUCAGGAACAGAUAGCAUUGCCUCAAAUUCAUAAGAAACUUCCCAACUUGCAUUUGUGGAAACUGUCGAAACAGAGAACAUAUCUGUUUCAUUGAGGAUCCAAAUUUAAAUAAAAACCCAACUAGUGAUAAUGUCCUAUCCCCUGAACCCUCAAAAAGAAUCCCUGGAUGUUUGCUUAUCAGAACACCCAACUGUUCAUAACUGUAACCUGUCUUGCUUACUAAAUAUAGAAUUGCAUGCAAAUGGCUCCAGUUAUAAGAAAUAUUUUCAGAUAACUGCUCCUCAAUCCAACCAAAUUCAAUUGACCCUUCCCUCAAUAUCUGCAAUGACUUAAUAAAGUCUGUAUUCACAUCCCCGAUCAAAAGGGAGGGGAAAUAAACAACCAUUUUAGUCAUAAAAGACUGGUUAAGCCCCAGUUCUUCAUAAGCUUUUAGUUUCAUUGCUAAAACCCCAUAAUCAUAACAAAAAAGUUCUCCUGCUUCCUUGUAAACCUUUCCUAUCUUAUUUCUUGGAAUCCCAUAGUUACACAAAAUAUGAUAAUUCUCUAGCAGCAAAUCAUCAUCACUCAAAAACAUCAAAUCACGCUGAAGAAAAUGCUUAUACUCAUGCGGUCUUAAACCUGAACUUUCAAAGAAAGGCUCAAAUUCAUUAAUAGGAUGAUAACGCAAGAAACGAGUGACAGACCGCCCAAUAUCUGCCUCAGUAUCAACCUUUUGUAAUAGCUUUUUGAGAAAAUUUGGUGAGUUUCUACUCAUAUGCUCAGCAUCCAAAAACUGUAAGUUUCUAGUGGAAUGCAAGUACUCAAACAGUGCAGCCUGGGCUUUUUUCCUAGUGACAUCAGAGAUUUUUCGACCAUCUAUCAAAGUUUCACCCAAAUUAUCAGCAUUUUCAGUAAGAACAUCUCUUUUCCUCCUAUAAAACCUAGGGUUACUUGAAAUGGAGAAUAACGACCCUCCAGACCAUAACAUGAUGUUGUAGCUAUCAGCAGAAUUCAAAGAAACCCAAUUGAGAAUAGGAGUUUUUCUAAGUUUAUGUAGAUGGGUCAUUGUUAGCCUGAUAUUGCACGUUAAAGAAUUACAGAAAUUUUAUCCCGAUAGGCAAAAAGAUAUAAACUCGAUAGAAAUGAAUAUGAAAGGUUUCUGGUAAAGUUUCUUACCUUCGAUUCUUCGAUGGGUUAGCUAAGUUUAGUGUCUGCUCAUGGAGGUUUGGAGAUUCAGUUGCAGAGUCUCUUCCCCUUCUGCUCAGAGAGAGUAGACCUAAGGGUAUGUUUCAG